GUCCACGCUGUAAACGAUGUCGACUUGGAGUUUGUGGGCAUGACCCGUGGGCUCCGGAGCUAACGCGUUAAGUCGACCGCCUGGGGAGUACUGCCGCAAGGUUAAAACUCAAAUGAAUUGACGGGGGCCCCGCACAAGCGGUGGAGCAUGUGGUUUAAUUCGAUGCAACGCGAAGAACCUUACCUACUCUUGACAUCCAGAGAAUUUGCUAGAGAUAGCUUAGUGCCUUCGGGAACUCUGAGACAGGUGCUGCAUGGCUGUCGU
Molecule: ribosomal RNA, 264 nt
Filed under: uncultured bacterium
Lineage: Bacteria
Description: partial 16S ribosomal RNA
Rfam family: Bacterial small subunit ribosomal RNA
Source: RNAcentral